GACGAACGCUGGCGGCGUGCUUAACACAUGCAAGUCGAACGGAAAGGCCCUGCUUUUGUGGGGUGCUCGAGUGGCGAACGGGUGACUAACACGUGAGUAACCUGCCCUUGACUUUGGGAUAACUUCAGGAAACUGGGGCUAAUACCGGAUAGGAGCUCCUGCUGCAUGGUGGGGGUUGGAAAGUUUCGGCGGUUGGGGAUGGACUCGCGGCUUAUCAGCUUGUUGGUGGGGUAGUGGCUUACCAAGGCUUUGACGGGUAGCCGGCCUGAGAGGGUGACCGGCCACAUUGGGACUGAGAUACGGCCCAGACUCCUACGGGAGGCAGCAGUGGGGAAUAUUGCACAAUGGGCGGAAGCCUGAUGCAGCAACGCCGCGUGCGGGAUGACGGCCUUCGGGUUGUAAACCGCUUUCGCCUGUGACGAAGCGUGAGUGACGGUAAUGGGUAAAGAAGCACCGGCUAACUACGUG
RNAcentral lists this ribosomal RNA (468 nucleotides) under uncultured bacterium. RNAcentral describes it as "partial 16S ribosomal RNA". It matches the Rfam family "Bacterial small subunit ribosomal RNA", at positions 28 to 507 of the family's 1533-position model. The record is from RNAcentral.